CUGUCUCAUAUCUCCCACCGCCAUGUGCCAGCUGAUAGGGGAGCUGUGACAUACCACACCCCGGUGGCUGGGAAGGGGGUCACAUGGACUGGUCUCAUCCAGAGCACUUUAAAGAAACUGAUAAGCUCUAUCUCAUUUAACUUGGCCUUUGGAAGACGCUUGUGGAAAUUUCUGCAAAGGAGGUGACAUCAGUUGUUGUCACAGCUGCUGUGCCUUACAGUGACCUUAUUGGUGGCUGACUCCAGAGAGACAUCUCAUGAUUCUGAGUUAAGAAUUUCUCCAUCUCCAAAAUCGGGACUUUGCAACUCUAAAGUCAAGAGGGAACUACAUAUAUAUAGGUGCAAUUCCCUAAUACUGGCCACAGAGUGAGGAUUAAGUUACUCCUAUGUGUCUUCAGAGGAAGAAUGCAUAUCACAGUCCCGCUCUGACAGCGUAGGCUCAGUGAAAUGAAGAAGAACAAGUUUUCUAUUGUUGUGCACCAU
Neopelma chrysocephalum (saffron-crested tyrant-manakin) is the source of this 482-nucleotide long non-coding RNA. RefSeq lists it as uncharacterized. NCBI's taxonomy places the organism in Eukaryota, Metazoa, Chordata, Aves, Passeriformes, Pipridae. The record is from RefSeq and is a predicted model, not a curated record. The transcript has 4 exons.